AGAGGGCGCUGGAUUCAAGAUGGCGGCGCCUAGGAAGUGAAUUCCGCAGAAGCGGCGGGAAGGACAAGCGCCCGGCAGUUCCCACUGCUCCACCGCCACCGCUUGUGUCAAGCGGCGGUCUGAGCACCGGAACCGCUUUAGGAUUUCUUCCCCACCGCAAAGCUGAGAGAAGGAUGCUACCGUCUAACCUUGGCUCUCCCAGCCUCCACCUUCCUGCGCCGCUGCUCCUGCUCGUCUUCCAUCUCCACCUGGGCUCCCGGCGAGUCGCUCGGAGGUGACAGGGCGGCGGCGACACCGCCUUCGCUCUAUUUACACUCCCUCCCUUCACCCACUCGCCUCCCCACCCCCCAUACACACAACUGUCAGCUUCGCCCCGCCAAUCCGGAGCCCCGUGUGGCCUUGCGCACGCGCGCUCCGCUGACGCUCCAAGGGCGGAGAGCCAUCUCUCUGGUCCCCAAUUGGUACGCCGACGCUCUCCACCCUCUUCAUCCACGCCAAUGAGCGAGGCGCGGCGUUCCCGGGGCUCGCGGGCGUUCGUCGACUGGGCGGCGGGAAGGUUUGGACAAACCGUUUUCCCGAGGCGGUGCUACCUAUCGCCCUCUCCCGACAGGAGGAGGACUUACAUACCAGCGGCUCUCCAUGCCUCCGGUGCGCUCUGGGCACUCUCUCCCGCACUUUGCCAAAGUCGUUUUUUCUGUCGCGAUGUGUUUCUGCGAACACUGGGGCAUCCUCUAGGAUCCACCAGCCCCCACUUUUGGUUCUCAGGUGCAGUCAACUGGGAGUCCUGCUUCCCUUCUUUGACCACUUCGGCCCCUCCUGAACACGGUCCCCUGUCUUCAAUCCAAAUCCAAAGAACAGAGUAUAGCCAGAGUUACUCAUUGAAUGACACCUAAAACUUAGACCGCUGUCCCCAGUGGACCCCAGAGUUGCCACCCAGGGCCGUUUUGCAUUCACGCACACGCUUCAAUGUACAGAGUCGCUGUGUGUUCAGGCACCUGACUCUCACUCCAUCCAUCACCUCUACCAGGAAAGUCUUUCUGCCAUAAGGAAAUAAAGAAACUAUGGUCCAUUUGUAGUAAGAGGCGCGUUUAAAGCUCAUCGGUGGAUUACAGGAAAUUAGGAGGAUUGGGCCCUUGGAUUCCCUAGCCGGCAGCAGGUUCUUUCUUGCCUAACAUUUAUUAAUUUAUCAUUGGGUUGAAACGUUGCAGGCUGUUAACAUGACUAACAUAAAAGGAGAGGAUCUGAGCUCCAGGAUAUAUGUCAAGAGCUUUGCAUCCUGCACGGAUAGGAUAGGGAAGCUGGAGAGAGGGUAAUGCCUAUAAGAAUGAAUCCUCCUGAAGAACUCAGUAGUGUGGAAUUUGGGAACAGGGAAAUGCCGUAAGGGCUAUAAAACCUAUUUUAUACCAAAUCUGCAUGACAGCCGUUUUUGCCUUCUCUCUAGGCUGACACCCAACUUUACAAGAUCCAAAAAAUAAAUUGUUUCACUUUCAUGACUCAAAAGACUUCAAGCCUCUUAGGAAGUGUCUCUUGCACUGAUGAAAACACUGAGUGGGUGGGGGUCCCUCUGGACAGACCUAUCCUCUAGGAUAUGUUGGUCUCAGUCUUUGAGCCAUGCAAUAUUUAAGGAAUGUUUGAAGGGUGGUCGGUCAUAUUUUACAUAUCAAAACUUAAAGGACUGGAGAGAUCAGCAGUUAAGAGCAUUAGCUGCUCUUCCAGAGAACCCCCAGUUGAUUCGCAGUACCCAAUGGUGGCUCACAAUUGUUACUCCAGUUCAGAGGAUCUGAUGCACACCUCUGGCUUCUGAGGGCACCAAAAACUCAUGUGGCGCACAUUGGUACCCAUAAAAUAAUUUUUAAAGUAUAAAUAAAUACCUAAUAAUAUUUA
Long non-coding RNA from Mus musculus (house mouse), 1884 nucleotides. RefSeq annotates it as predicted gene 9744. The transcript has a single exon. Lineage: Eukaryota; Metazoa; Chordata; Mammalia; Rodentia; Muridae. The record is from RefSeq and is marked validated.